Molecule: long non-coding RNA, 271 nt
Filed under: Elaeis guineensis (African oil palm)
Lineage: Eukaryota; Viridiplantae; Streptophyta; Magnoliopsida; Arecales; Arecaceae
Description: long non-coding RNA (EGUI_LNC058406)
Source: RNAcentral
UUUCAAAUCUCUCUCCUUCUCCACGCCAUCUUUCCUUCUUCCUCUCUUUCCAACACCCAAGAGUUGCGUGUCCCAUCUUCUCACACACCCAAGUUGAAGAGGGUGAUUUGCUUCUACAUCAAGAAUGAGGAGAAAGGUUGCUGUUCAAGUGUUGAGCUUGUGGUCAAAGAUCAAAGAUUGAUCAAAGGUUUAAAAGACUAAGAACCUAUUUGGAGAAGAAGGAUCUACAACAAGAAGAAAGGUUCAAGAAUGAUUUUGGUGGAUACCUGUA